Molecule: transfer RNA, 91 nt
Filed under: Kaustia mangrovi
Lineage: Bacteria; Pseudomonadati; Pseudomonadota; Alphaproteobacteria; Hyphomicrobiales; Parvibaculaceae
Description: Alphaproteobacteria bacterium R1DC25 tRNA-Ser
Rfam family: tRNA
About the family: Transfer RNA (tRNA) molecules are approximately 80 nucleotides in length.
Source: RNAcentral
GGAGAGGUGGCCGAGUGGUCGAAGGCGCUCCCCUGCUAAGGGAGUAGGCGGCAAAACCGCCUCGAGGGUUCGAAUCCCUUCCUCUCCGCCA